Non-coding RNA from Trichonephila inaurata madagascariensis, 72 nucleotides. The record is from the annotation of a GenBank genome assembly. Lineage: Eukaryota; Metazoa; Arthropoda; Arachnida; Araneae; Nephilidae.
GGGGGUAUAGCUCUGUGGUAGAGCAUUCGACUGCAGAUCGAGAGGUUCUCGGCUCCAACUAGGGUGUCCUCU